AGCAACGAAGGGAUGGAACUAAUUCCAAUUUUCAAGGUUGCUAUAUUGUUCUCCAUUGCCCAACAUCUUCCUAUAUUCCUUCAAGAUAUUCAAGGCAAUUUUAUUGGUGAAUUUAACAACAUAAUUCUUGUGAUCCAGCAACCUACCUUUGGGAAAACAUCAAAUCCACUUUCAUCAAAUACCACAACAAAUCCUUCUAGAACAUUUGUUGAGACUUGAAGAUCAGGGAAGGAGAUCGGGGUUUCAAUCGUCGGAGAACGAGGAGUUCUCUGAAAUCCACAGGAGAUAGACGAAAUCAAGAGUCGGGAAUUGGUGUAAAGCACACAAUCCAGGGGGCCUAGGGGCCGAGAGUUGGUGCAGGAUCACGCAUUCCAGGAGGACUUUUGUGAAACUACAAUCAAGAGGUUAAAAAAACUAAUGUGAGUUGAGUCUGACAAAUUGUAAGAGGUAUUUUCAUUUAUAGCAGAUUCGUACUGGCUUGGGCUUGGAGUUUUACCUACAUUGGGGUUUCUCCGUCAUCAAACAACUGUGUUCUUUAUAUUUCUACAAUUUACUUGUUCCCAGUAAUUCAACAUAGGAUAAUAAAGCAUGUGAAUUGAUCUAGACAUAUUAAUAAUUGUGGUUUGUUGCAUUUAUUAAUUAAUUAGUAAAAAAAUCCGCAUAAUCACCUAUUCACCCCUCUAGGUGUUGAUUGGGUCAAACUACGUUAUUUCAAUUUUCAAUGGAGGAACCUCCAUGUUUUAACUCUGAAUUUUGAGCAAUAUGACCCUAAGAUCUGCUUCAUAAUCGUUGUCUCUUUUCUUACGAUUUAUGUUGUUGCCACAUCAAUCUGUUUUUUAUUAUUAUUUUUAACCUGUAUGUUUAUCAUUUUCCUUCCAAAUAUGACAUGUGAAGCGCAUGUAUUAUAGACCAUGCUGGUUGUACAUGGGCCUUGGGCGUCAAGUGGCAUCCUUAUAGGUGGGGAGUAGGCUCCCCCAUGCACCCUGGACAACCAUUAUAACCCAUAUAUUAAAAAAUAUGACAGGUGAAAUGUCAAAUGUGACUAGAAGAACUUUUUUUAGUUUUAUUUUAUUUAUGAGUAAAGUAGUAUGUUUUCUCUAAAGACCUUGAAUUUACUCAUUUUUGCAACUAUGGGGAAAAUUUUCUAGAAAGAAUGAUGAAGUUUCUCUCUCCAAAGCACCAUAAAUAAAAUAAUGUUAAUAGGGUAGUGCUACAAGUACACAAUAAUUUACAUAAUGAUUUAUCAACAGAUAAUGUGAAUAUAUUUAAUUGAAUCAAAAUCUCAUCAAUUAAAUAACUUUCCCACUUAUAUUUUGACACCUCAUCAUUAUUGUUAGGUUCUAUAUUUUAAUUGGCAUUCUAUGAACAAAAAAAGACUAAAUUGUAUAUAUCUAAAAGUUAAGGCGUGAAAUGCAUAAUUAUAUAGUUGAGUUGGGCUAGGGUUUAAGCUUGUAAAAUUAGAGGCCCGUAAGUCAAAGUCUCUAUAUAUACACACGCAUAUGCACUGAAGAAGAGUGUCGUUGGCUGCCAUAUUGAUAUACAUAUACAAACAGAAAACGGCAUAAGGUGUCGGCUGCUGAAUAUAUGUAUAUAUAAAACAGGGAAAUAUACCUAUGCGCCUACGUCUGGGAAUUGAAGUCGUUGAAUUAAUAAAAUCAGCUAGCUGCUUUAGGAGUUAAAAGGUGGGAUGAAAUCGGAUUGUUGAAUAAAAAAGGAGUCGGCAACUUGGAGGGGGAAUUGAGCUAAAUUUCCUAUAUUCUCACAAAGUUAAGGGCUGCCUAUUGAAGUCAGCUGUUGGAAUUAAAAUUGGAUGCUGCUGGGUUGAAUUGGUAGGCUGAGAGAGUUGACCUUUAUAUAUAAUUCCCUCAGAGACGAAGAAUAUUUGGUGGCUGAAUUAUAUUAUUAUAUAUAUACACUUUUGGGCUGAAUUGUAUCACGUAUUACACAGAAAUUGUGGCAGGAAAAGUGGCGGGUUGCUGUUAUUAUAUAUAUAUAUAUCACCCAUGGCAAAGGAGUCCUGGAAAAUUGAAUUGGCCGGCAACCAAAAAAAAAAAAGCAGCAACGAAGGGAUGGAACUAAUUCCAAUUUUCAAGGUUGCUAUAUUGUUCUCCAUUGCCCAACAUCUUCCUAUAUUCCUUCAAGAUAUUCAAGGCAAUUUUAUUGGUGAAUUUAACAACAUAAUUCUUGUGAUCCAGCAACCUACCUUUGGGAAAACAUCAAAUCCACUUUCAUCAAAUACCACAACAAAUCCUUCUAGAACAUUUGUUGAGACUUGAAGAUCAGGGAAGGAGAUCGGGGUUUCAAUCGUUGGAGAACGAGGAGUUCUCUGAAAUCCACAGGAGAUAGACGAAAUCAAGAGUCGGAAAUUGGUGUAAAGCACACAAUCCAGGGGGCCUA
RNAcentral lists this long non-coding RNA (2397 nucleotides) under Olea europaea (common olive). RNAcentral describes it as "long non-coding RNA (OEUR_LNC008262)". The record is from RNAcentral. Lineage: Eukaryota; Viridiplantae; Streptophyta; Magnoliopsida; Lamiales; Oleaceae.